This 501-nucleotide ribosomal RNA is filed under the name uncultured bacterium. RNAcentral's name for it is "partial 16S ribosomal RNA". It matches the Rfam family "Bacterial small subunit ribosomal RNA", at positions 30 to 523 of the family's 1533-position model. The record is from RNAcentral.
AUUGAACGCUGGCGGCAGGCUUAACACAUGCAAGUCGAGCGGGGGAAGGUAGCUUGCUACUGGACCUAGCGGCGGACGGGUGAGUAAUGCUUAGGAAUCUGCCUAUUAGUGGGGGACAACAUCUCGAAAGGGAUGCUAAUACCGCAUACGUCCUGCGGGAGAAAGCAGGGGAUCUUCGGACCUUGCGCUAAUAGAUGAGCCUAAGUCGGAGUAGCUAGUUGGUGGGGUAAAGGCCUACCAAGGCGACGAUCUGUAGCGGGUCUGAGAGGAUGAUCCGCCACACUGGGACUGAGACACGGCCCAGACUCCUACGGGAGGCAGCAGUGGGGAAUAUUGGACAAUGGGGGGAACCCCGAUCCAGCCAUGCCGCGUGUGUGAAGAAGGCCUUAUGGUUGUAAAGCACUUUAAGCGAGGAGGAGGCUACUCUAGUUAAUACCUAGGGAUAGUGGACGUUACUCGCAGAAUAAGCACCGGCUAACUCUGUGCCAGCAGCAGCCGCAG